Molecule: transfer RNA, 85 nt
Filed under: Polaromonas sp.
Lineage: Bacteria; Pseudomonadati; Pseudomonadota; Betaproteobacteria; Burkholderiales; Comamonadaceae
Description: tRNA-Leu
Rfam family: tRNA
About the family: Transfer RNA (tRNA) molecules are approximately 80 nucleotides in length.
Source: RNAcentral
GCCCGCCUGGCGGAACUGGCAGACGCGCCGGCCUCAAAAGUCGGUGCCGCAUGGCGUGCAGGUUCGAGUCCUGCGGCGGGCACCA